Molecule: long non-coding RNA, 333 nt
Filed under: Sorghum bicolor (sorghum)
Lineage: Eukaryota; Viridiplantae; Streptophyta; Magnoliopsida; Poales; Poaceae
Description: long non-coding RNA (SBIC_LNC013877)
Source: RNAcentral
CAUUGGGUUUUGUUUUUCUCUUUCUUUUUUUCCAAGUUGAGCACUUGAUCAUCUUGUAGUCAUCACCAUCAUCCCAAUGAUCCUCUCUUGCUCUAUCACUUGGCAUGUACCAACCUCAUUAAGUCUACAUACACUUAGUAUAGAGGUUAGUACUAGGGUUUCAUCAAUUAUCCAAAACCAAACUAGGGCUUUCAAUCUCCCCCUUUUUGGUAAUUGAUGACAACCCUUUUUACAAAGAUUUUCAAUAAAAUUUUCUUGGAUUCAUGUUGCUUGCCCAAGCAUUUUACCAUGUGCAAAGGUCAUGGACAAGUUUUAUAAACCCAAAUUGGUAGC